Molecule: non-coding RNA, 192 nt
Organism: Vicia faba (fava bean)
Lineage: Eukaryota; Viridiplantae; Streptophyta; Magnoliopsida; Fabales; Fabaceae
Source: the annotation of a GenBank genome assembly
AUGCUUAGCCUGAUUAAAUCCUUAUUUCUCGCCCAACGAGCUGCUGGAGAGCCCAAGUCAGUGGCUACUGGAAAUUUGAUCAAAACCUCUCACCCCUUCGUUGCCUUGCGAGGCAGACGCAAAGGCUCCUCUCUUAAGCUUUGCCCAACGAGGCACACCAGAACAAAUACUUUUGUUUCUCUUCUAGCAUAA